AACUAAACGUUGAGAUGAGUAAACUGCAGUUUUCGCUCAGAGAGUCGCUGCUUGGUGAAAAGCGAUCGAAGAUAACAGUUGAAGAUGGUCUCAAUCAAGUCGUAUCGCUGAGCCUAGGGGUUAGGUGAUAUCGGGUCCGCCCGUUACAGUGGUAGGUUAUAGCACUUGUGCUGUAGCUGAAGUGUCAUGGCAAUUGUUUUUAGGCAGUUGACAUGGAAUAAAGGUGGUACCGCGUGCAAACGUCCUUUUU
RNAcentral lists this non-coding RNA (250 nucleotides) under Secundilactobacillus odoratitofui. RNAcentral describes it as "Lactobacillus odoratitofui T-box sequence". It matches the Rfam family "T-box leader". From Rfam's summary of the family: Uncharged tRNA acts as the effector for transcription antitermination of genes in the T-box leader family. T-boxes are found upstream of many aminoacyl-tRNA synthetase genes and some amino acid biosynthetic genes usually in Gram-positive bacteria. The record is from RNAcentral. Lineage: Bacteria; Bacillati; Bacillota; Bacilli; Lactobacillales; Lactobacillaceae.